GGUAAUGCCGGAUGCUCCGACUCCUCGCAUGGGGUGUCGGGAAAGAUUUCAUCGGUAUGGGAUGGGGUCGCGUCCUAUCAGGUAGUCGGCGGGGUAACGGCCCACCGAGCCUACGACGGGUAGCCGGCCUGAGAGGGCGACCGGCCACAUUGGGACUGAGAUACGGCCCAGACUCCUACGGGAGGCAGCAGUGGGGAAUAUUGCACAAUGGGCGCAAGCCUGAUGCAGCGACGCCGCGUGCGGGAUGACGGCCUUCGGGUUGUAAACCGCUUUUGAUCGGGAGCAAGCCUUCGGGUGAGUGUACCUUUCGAAUAAGCACCGGCUAACUACGUGCCAGCAGCCGCGGUAAUACGUAGGGUGCAAGCGUUAUCCGGAAUUAUUGGGCGUAAAGGGCUCGUAGGCGGUUCGUCGCGUCCGGUGUGAAAGUCCAUCGCUUAACGGUGGAUCUGCGCCGGGUACGGGCGGGCUGGAGUGCGGUAGGGGAGACUGGAAUUCCCGGUGUAACGGUGGAAUGUGUAGAUAUCGAAAAAAAACAC
Molecule: ribosomal RNA, 536 nt
Filed under: Bifidobacterium pseudocatenulatum
Lineage: Bacteria; Bacillati; Actinomycetota; Actinomycetes; Bifidobacteriales; Bifidobacteriaceae
Description: bacterial SSU rRNA
Rfam family: Bacterial small subunit ribosomal RNA
Source: RNAcentral